UACGUAGGGUGCGAGCGUUAAUCGGAAUUACUGGGCGUAAAGCGUGCGUAGGCGGUUCGUUAAGUUCGUUGUGAAAGCCCCGGGCUCAACCUGGGAAUGGCAAUGGAAACUGGCGGGCUGGAGUAUGGCAGAGGGGGGUGGAAUUCCGCGUGUAGCAGUGAAAUGCGUAGAGAUGCGGAGGAACACCGAUGGCGAAGGCAGCCCCCUGGGCCAAUACUGACGCUCAGGCACGAAAGCGUGGGGAGCAAACAGG
This 253-nucleotide ribosomal RNA is filed under the name uncultured bacterium. RNAcentral's name for it is "partial 16S ribosomal RNA". It matches the Rfam family "Bacterial small subunit ribosomal RNA", at positions 524 to 776 of the family's 1533-position model. The record is from RNAcentral. RNAcentral also lists the same sequence under 1 other name.